GACGAACGCUGGCGGCGUGCUUAACACAUGCCAGUCGAACGGAAAGGCCCUGCUUUUGUGGGGUGCUCGAGUGGCGAACGGGUGAGUAACACGUGAGUAACCUGCCCUUGACUUUGGGAUAACUUCAGGAAACUGGGGCUAAUACCGGAUAGGAGCUCCUGCUGCAUGGUGGGGGUUGGAAAGUUUCGGCGGUUGGGGAUGGACUCGCGGCUUAUCAGCUUGUUGGUGGGGUAGUGGCUUACCAAGGCUUUGACGGGUAGCCGGCCUGAGAGGGUGACCGGCCACAUUGGGACUGAGAUACGGACCAGACUCCAACGGGAGGCAGCAGUGGGGAAUAUUGCACAAUGGGCGGAAGCCGGAUGCAGCAACGCCGCGUGCGGGAUGACGGCCUUCGGGUUGUAAACCGCUUUCGCCUGUGACGAAGCGUGAGUGACGGUAAUGGGUAAAGAAGCACCGGCUAACUACGUG
Molecule: ribosomal RNA, 468 nt
Filed under: uncultured bacterium
Lineage: Bacteria
Description: partial 16S ribosomal RNA
Rfam family: Bacterial small subunit ribosomal RNA
Source: RNAcentral